This 304-nucleotide ribosomal RNA is filed under the name uncultured fungus. RNAcentral's name for it is "eukaryotic LSU rRNA". The stretch from base 1 to 52 matches the Rfam family "5.8S ribosomal RNA", at positions 103 to 154 of the family's 154-position model. Lineage: Eukaryota; Fungi. The record is from RNAcentral.
AACGCACCUUGCGCUCCUUGGUAUUCCGAGGAGCAUGCCUGUUUGAGUGUCAUUAAAUUCUCAACCUUACCAGUUUUCACGAAUUGGUAAUGGCUUGGACUUGGGGGUUUUUUGCUGGCUUCGUCAAGAGGUCUGCUCCCCUUAAAUGUAUUAGCCGGUACCCUUGUGGAGUCGUCUAUUGGUGUGAUAAUUAUCUACGCCGUGGUGGUACGCCACGAUUGUGGGGGACCUGCUUCCAACCGUCGAAAGACAAACUUUAUCGAAACUUGACCUCAAAUCAGGCGGGACUACCCGCUGAACUUAA